AGCAGCCGCGGUAAUUCCAGCUCCAAUAGCGUAUAUUAAAGUUGUUGCAGUUAAAAAGCUCGUAGUUGAAUUUUGGGUCUGGCCGGGCGGUCCGCCCUCUGGGUGAGCACUGUUCCGACGCCGGGCCUAUCCUUCUGGUGAGUCGGCAUGUCCUUUAUUGGGUGUGUCGGGGAACCAGGACCAUUACCUUGAAAAAAUUAGAGUGUUCAAAGCAGGCGUAUGCUCGAAUACAUUAGCAUGGAAUAAUGAAAUAGGACGCGUGGUGCUAUUUUGUUGGUUUCUAGAACCGCCGUAAUGAUUAAUAGGGAUAGUUGGGGGCAUUAGUAUUCAAUUGUCAGAGGUGAAAUUCUUGGAUUUAUUGAAGACUAACUUCUGCGAAAGCAUUUGCCAAGGAUGUUUUCAUUAAUCAAGAACGAAAGUUAGGGGGAUCGAAGACGAUCAGAUACCGUCGUAGUCUUAACCAUAAACUAUGCCGACUAGGAAUCGGGCGAUGUUAUUCUCAUGACUCGCCCGGCGCCUU
This 520-nucleotide unclassified non-coding RNA is filed under the name uncultured Glomus. RNAcentral describes it as "SSU rRNA". It matches the Rfam family "Eukaryotic small subunit ribosomal RNA", at positions 569 to 1089 of the family's 1831-position model. RNAcentral also lists the same sequence under 1 other name. Lineage: Eukaryota; Fungi; Glomeromycota; Glomeromycetes; Glomerales; Glomeraceae. The record is from RNAcentral.